ACGAACGCUGGCGGCGUGCUUAACACAUGCAAGUCGAACGGAAAGGCCCUGCUUUUGUGGGGUGCUCGAGUGGCGAACGGGUGAGUAACACGUGAGUAACCUGCCCUUGACUUUGGGAUAACUUCAGGAAACUGGGGCUAAUACCGGAUAGGAGCUCCUGCUGCAUGGUGGGGGUUGGAAAGUUUCGGCGGUUGGGGAUGGACUCGCGGCUUAUCAGCUUGUUGGUGGGGUAGUGGCUUACCAAGGCUUUGACGGGUAGCCGGCCUGAGAGGGUGACCGGCCACAUUGGGGCUGAGAUACGGCCCAGACUCCUACGGGAGGCAGCAGUGGGGAAUAUUGCACAAUGGGCGGAAGCCUGAUGCAGCAACGCCGCGUGCGGGAUGACGGCCUUCGGGUUGUAAACCGCUUUCGCCUGUGACGAAGCGUGAGUGACGGUAAUGGGUAAAGAAGCACCGGCUAACUACGU
Molecule: ribosomal RNA, 466 nt
Filed under: uncultured bacterium
Lineage: Bacteria
Description: partial 16S ribosomal RNA
Rfam family: Bacterial small subunit ribosomal RNA
Source: RNAcentral